Molecule: transfer RNA, 73 nt
Filed under: Thermoplasmatota archaeon
Lineage: Archaea; Methanobacteriati; Thermoplasmatota
Description: Candidatus Thermoplasmatota archaeon tRNA-Asn
Rfam family: tRNA
About the family: Transfer RNA (tRNA) molecules are approximately 80 nucleotides in length. Their secondary structure includes four short double-helical elements and three loops (D, anti-codon, and T loops). Further hydrogen bonds mediate the characteristic L-shaped molecular structure. tRNAs have two regions of fundamental functional importance: the anti-codon, which is responsible for specific mRNA codon recognition, and the 3' end, to which the tRNAs corresponding amino acid is attached (by aminoacyl-tRNA synthetases). tRNAs cope with the degeneracy of the genetic code in two manners: having more than one tRNA (with a specific anti-codon) for a particular amino acid; and 'wobble' base-pairing, i.e. permitting non-standard base-pairing at the 3rd anti-codon position.
Source: RNAcentral
GCCGUCGUAGCUCAGUUGGUGGAGCACUCGGCUGUUAACCGAGCGGUCGCCGGUUCGAGUCCGGCCGACGGCG